Molecule: ribosomal RNA, 492 nt
Filed under: uncultured bacterium
Lineage: Bacteria
Description: partial 16S ribosomal RNA
Rfam family: Bacterial small subunit ribosomal RNA
Source: RNAcentral
AGUGAACGCUGGCGGUAGGCCUAACACAUGCAAGUCGAACGGCAGCACAGUAAGAGCUUGCUCUUACGGGUGGCGAGUGGCGGACGGGUGAGGAAUACAUCGGAAUCUACUUUUUCGUGGGGGAUAACGUAGGGAAACUUACGCUAAUACCGCAUUCGCCCUACGGGUGAAAGCAUGGGAUCUUCGGACCUUGCGCGAUUGAAUGAGCCGAUGUCGGAUUAGCUAGUUGGCGGGGUAAAGGCCCACCAAGGCGACGAUCCGUAGCUGGUCUGAGAGGAUGAUCAGCCACACUGGAACUGAGACACGGUCCAGACUCCUACGGGAGGCAGCAGUGGGGAAUAUUGGACAAUGGGCGCAAGCCUGAUCCAGCCAUACCGCGUGGGUGAAGAAGGCCUUCGGGUUGUAAAGCCCUUUUGUUGGGAAAGAAAAGCAGCAGGUUAAUACCCCGCUGUUCUGACGGUACCCAAAGAAUAAGCACCGGCUAACUUCGUG